RNAcentral lists this long non-coding RNA (491 nucleotides) under Mus spicilegus (steppe mouse). Its description in RNAcentral is "lncRNA (ENSMSIG00000031636.1)". The record is from RNAcentral. Lineage: Eukaryota; Metazoa; Chordata; Mammalia; Rodentia; Muridae.
CGGGGAGGGGGCCAUGCAAAAAGGUAAGACCAGGUUAGCGCUGCUCGGCCCUGAGUGGGCUGCGGCCGGGGGAGGGGCGAGAGAUACAUAUGUAUUUCUGUCUCCCCAGCACACCCCCUUCCCUCUAAGCGAUGGCUGAGAGGCGGUGCAUGCAGAUGGGGAGUAAGUUUCCUGGAGGGGAGGAGGGUGGAUGCACGCGCGCAGCCCGGCGCUGCAAAUUUCCACCGGGGAGGGAGAGAGUGGCUGGAUGCGGAGAGUUUGGAGUUGGAGGGCAAGGAAGGGAGCAGGGCCUGGGGGAGGGGGGAAAGAGGGGUGCUAUUGGUGCUGUAUCUGGGAGUAAGUUUCCAAGGACGAGAGAGCCUGCACGCUUGCUUGCUAGCUACUCGGCUCGCCCCCCAUCUCACCCCCCCAAGUGGAGAUUGGUCGUCUUGUCGGAUUGCCCAGGCACUUGUUGCCGAAACAGCCAAGGCUCCAGCUCCAGAGGGCAGUGA